This 1107-nucleotide ribosomal RNA is filed under the name bacterium enrichment culture. Its description in RNAcentral is "bacterial SSU rRNA". It matches the Rfam family "Bacterial small subunit ribosomal RNA", at positions 350 to 1428 of the family's 1533-position model. The record is from RNAcentral.
AGUGGGGGGAAUAUGGGUCAAUGGGCGCAGGCUAGUUUCCAGCAAUACCGACGUGGGUGGAAGGAAGGCUGGAGGGUUGUAAAGCUCUUUUCAAUUGGAGAAGGGAUCACUAUCGGGUUAAUACCCGGUAGUCUGACAUUAUCCGAUACAAGAAAGCACCAGGCUAACCUCCGUCACAAGCAGUCGGCAGUAAUACGGGAGGAGUGCAAGCGUUACUAGGUAAUUUCUGGGAUGUCAAUGCGUGUGUAGGCGGUUUUUUAAGUCAUGAUAUGAAAAGCCGUGAGAUCAUCGUGGGAACCUCAUUUGAUACUGGGGAACUAGAUGUUGUGUAGAGGAGAGUGGAAUUUCAGGUGUAGCGGCGAGAAUGCGUAGAGAUCUGAAGGAACACCAGUGGCGAAGGCGGCUGUCUGGACUCAAAUUGACGUUGAGGUACGAAAGCGUGGGUAGCAAACAGGAUUAGAUACCCUGGUAGUCCACGCCAGUAAACGAUGUCAACUAACCGUUGGGUUCUUAAAGAAAUUAGUGGUGGAGCUAACGUAUUAAGUUGACCGCUGGCGAGUACGGCCGCAAGGCUAAAACUCAAAUGAAUUGACGGGGGCCCGCACAAGCGGUGGAGCAUGUGGUUUAAUUUGAUGCAACGCGAAGAACCUUACCUACCCUUGACAUCCUAGGAACUUGUCAGAGAUGACUUGGUGCCUUCGGGAACCGAGAGACAGGUGCUGCAUGGCUGUCGUCAGCUCGUGUCGUGAGAUGUUGGGUUAAGUCCCGUAACGAGCGCAACCCUUAUCCUUAGUUCCCAGCGGGUCAUGGCGGGAACUCUAGGGAGACUGCCGGUGAUAAACCGGAGGAAGGUGGGGAGGACGUCAAGUCAUCAUGGCCUUUAUGGGUAGGGCUACACACGUGCUACAAUGGUCGGUACAGAGGGUUGAGAACUCGCGAGAGCCAGCCAAUCCCAAAAAGCCGAUCCUAGUCCGGAUUGCAGUCUGCAACUCGAAUGCAUGAAGUAGGAAUCGCUAGUAAUCGCGGAUCAGAAUUCCGCGGUGAAUACGUUCCCGGGCCUUGUACCCACCGCCCGUCACACCACGGGAGCGGGUUGCAAAAGAAGUA